RNAcentral lists this ribosomal RNA (465 nucleotides) under Vreelandella stevensii. RNAcentral describes it as "partial 16S ribosomal RNA". It matches the Rfam family "Bacterial small subunit ribosomal RNA", at positions 338 to 795 of the family's 1533-position model. Lineage: Bacteria; Pseudomonadati; Pseudomonadota; Gammaproteobacteria; Oceanospirillales; Halomonadaceae. The record is from RNAcentral.
CCUACGGGCGGCUGCAGUGGGGAAUAUUGGACAAUGGGGGCAACCCUGAUCCAGCCAUGCCGCGUGUGUGAAGAAGGCCCUCGGGGUGUAAAGCACUUUCAGUGAGGAAGAACGCCUGGUGGUUAAUACCCAUCAGGAAAGACAUCACUCACAGAAGAAGCACCGGCUAACUCCGUGCCAGCAGCCGCGGUAAUACGGAGGGUGCGAGCGUUAAUCGGAAUUACUGGGCGUAAAGCGCGCGUAGGUGGCUUGAUAAGCCGGUUGUGAAAGCCCCGGGCUCAACCUGGGAACGGCAUCCGGAACUGUCAAGCUAGAGUGUAGGAGAGGAAGGUAGAAUUCCCGGUGUAGCGGUGAAAUGCGUAGAGAUCGGGAGGAAUACCAGUGGCGAAGGCGGCCUUCUGGACUGACACUGACACUGAGGUGCGAAAGCGUGGGUAGCAAACAGGAUUAGAUACCCUAGUAGUC